This 941-nucleotide long non-coding RNA is filed under the name Salmo salar (Atlantic salmon). RNAcentral describes it as "lncRNA (ENSSSAG00000107555.1)". The record is from RNAcentral. Lineage: Eukaryota; Metazoa; Chordata; Actinopteri; Salmoniformes; Salmonidae.
UCCAACUACUACUGCCCCUAUAACCCUAAAUAUUAUUGGUCAACAAACUACUGGUUACCCUACCUCUAUCCCGAUCACCAGUACCAGUCUCCCCACCACCUCUACCACCACCUCCACCAUCCCCUCCAACACCACCUCUACCACCACAUCCCCUCCCCUGGUCUGUAUCAACGGUGGUGAGCAGCUGAGUGGAGUCUGUAUCUGUCCUGAUGAGUGGACCGGAGAGACCUGUUCAGAAGGGUAUUUCUGCAAUUCCACCAUGAAGGAUGGAUUCUCCUUCCCAAGAACAGUGGUUGGCUGGUCUGCUUAUUCUGAAAAUUAUAACAAUGGUUUACCAGAAGCCUUAGCAGAAUGUUCAGAUGACACUGGAUCUCCAGUGUUUGGUCGUAUUUACAAGCUAGAGCGGGAAUUAACCCUCAGUGACAUUCUAGGAAAUAUCUCCAGCAGUCCAGGUGAUUUACUAAAGUUAGCCUUCAGUACUCAGAUCCUGACCUCCCAACCAGAGCAGCUGUCAGCUGACAACAUCACCACAGCAGCUCAGAUAGCUAACACACUGCUUCAGUCUGCAAAUAUCACAGAGGACAUCGCAGUGGCAGCUGUAACUACCAUCAGUCAGCUGCUGAAUGCCAAUGAGGAGAGUACACAGGAGAGAGACGCUGUCCAAAAGUACAGGAGGUGUGUGUGUGUGUGUGUGUGUGAGCGUGCAUGUGUGGUGGUGUGUAUUUCUGCAUAUGUUUGAGUUUAUGUGUGCCUCUGCUUGUCUGCAUGGUGCAUGCAAACUAAUGUUUUUCUGUGUUUCUCUCCCAGCCUCACAGAGACCCUGGAGAUGUUUUCCCUGGACCAGCACAAUAAUGUGUCCUUGGUGGUUCAGCCCAACCUGGUAGUCCAGUCGGUCCAAGUACCAAGUGACUCAGUAGGGAUCCAGUUUACUGCUCUGACUG